Musa acuminata AAA Group (dessert banana) is the source of this 1371-nucleotide long non-coding RNA. RefSeq lists it as uncharacterized. Lineage: Eukaryota; Viridiplantae; Streptophyta; Magnoliopsida; Zingiberales; Musaceae. The transcript has 3 exons. The record is from RefSeq and is a predicted model, not a curated record.
UACCGGCUCAUCGCGGCCGAUGCUAUCGCCUUCCCCCGCCUCCUCCGCUCUGUCGCCUUCCGGCCCGUUUGCGACAGACGUCAUCAACUCGGUCGCACUGCAACGGUGAAUCGGUGCUGCAGACGCGCUCCGGCUCCCCUAUGUCCAUUACGUGAGCCAUUGUUUCUAUCUGAUUGGCCCAAAACCCUCUUGUUUAUCUAUCUCUUGCCUUCUUCUCAGGUUCCUUUCUAGAGAGCCAAGGCGCCGUUCCAGGAUACUGGAUGGUAACCAUAUCUUCGAUUUCGCCAUUCUUGUUUCCUCUAAAACUUUAUCUUGGUUUGAUCAGGAAAAACGGAAUCUUUUAUAGCAAGUUUUAGUAAAUGUGAACCUGUUCACAAGGUGUUGGAUUUGAGAUAUUGAAGGAUGGAGCAGUUUUUUAUAUGUUUAGUUUCUUAGAUGCUCGACAUCUAUGAUAAAGCAAAUUUGGGGACAAAAACACGUUGGUUUAUGUGCGCUCUAAGUUCGUGGAGGAAACGUCAAGAUGAAUUGCUUGUGGAUCCUCGAUUCUUCUGCAGCGUUCAGUGAAGAAAAUAAUAGUAAGAUGUUGAUACAGAUAAUGCAAGAUGUGGACAACCCAUUUUGAUGCCGCUCGACGUCACCUUAUCACCAACCACAUCAUCUGCCACAUUACCACCAAAUCCAUGCUUGGAUAGUGUUAUCCUAAUUGCACGUGGAUAGGAUCCUUGUAGGGGUUCGUGAGGUUGGUCAUAAGGAUUGGAUUGACCUCAACGGUAAUCUCUUGUUUGAUUCUCAAGGAGGAAGAGCCACAAAACAGGACUUGGUUGGAUCAACCCUAUCCCUCUCAAUUGACAAUGACAAUCAGAAUCAUCAUUAACAACUGAUAAGUAAAAAGAAUAAGUUUAUAACAAUGAUAUUAAUUACUAUUCUACCGCUUGUGUUAUACCAUUUGAUCCCAGUAUUGUUAGUUUAAUGCAGGUGGAGUCAGCCAGAAGUUUUGAUCCAAUCAAGGAGUUCAUUUUACUUCUUUGCUCGGUGUUGCAAGAGGCUCUCUGAUCUCCUCAGAUACCUGAUCAUAUCUUAGAAAAUAAUGUUGAAGUGGAGAUACAAGGGACCAUAGACGUUGUCUUGUUCAGCUAAUGCAUGUGGAGUAGCGAGUACCAAACAAGCCAAAUUUCCUCGGAAAUGAACUACCAAGUGACUGAAUACCCCUUUUCCUCUCUUUUUUGUUUUCUGUGUAAUUUUCACUGUCAGUUUUGGGCCAAAUAAUUUUGUUACACAAUCGAUCAUUUUCAUAGUGUCUAAUAUGGGAUAUGAAGAUGAUUAAUAUAGUCUUGUCUUACCUAUAUAAAGGGGCGAUGCACAAGCUAUUAU